Molecule: non-coding RNA, 240 nt
Organism: Desulfobacter postgatei 2ac9
Lineage: Bacteria; Pseudomonadati; Thermodesulfobacteriota; Desulfobacteria; Desulfobacterales; Desulfobacteraceae
Source: Rfam
GUACGGGCGACGGUGUGCUUCGAAAGGAAGCAGCCUUGCUGAGGCAAGGUACGGCGAAGGUACGGGAUGACGAACAGGAAUCGGGUAUAAGGCGCACAUACCGGGACGAGUCUGCACCACAAGGAUCAGAGACCGAAGCGGAGCACAGGGGCGGAGCAACUCGUAAUACCCAGAUAGUCAACAACAAGGCCCCCGGGUUUGUCCUUGUAGACCCGGUUCACCCUGGCGAUGGCCUGCAUC